Molecule: small RNA, 22 nt
Filed under: Arabidopsis thaliana (thale cress)
Lineage: Eukaryota; Viridiplantae; Streptophyta; Magnoliopsida; Brassicales; Brassicaceae
Description: ATSL128820
Source: RNAcentral
UAAUGACAGAAAAAUACUAGAC